RNAcentral lists this ribosomal RNA (999 nucleotides) under uncultured bacterium. RNAcentral's name for it is "bacterial SSU rRNA". It matches the Rfam family "Bacterial small subunit ribosomal RNA", at positions 509 to 1504 of the family's 1533-position model. The record is from RNAcentral.
CAGCAGCCGCGGUAAUACGUAGGGUGCAAGCGUUGUUCGGAUUUAUUGGGCGUAAAGGGUCCGCAGGGGGUUAAUUAAGUCUGAUGUGAAAUCUCACGGCUCAACCGUGAAACUGCAUUGGAAACUGAUAAACUAGAGUACUGGAGAGGUAAGUGGAAUUCCUGGUGGAGCGGUGGAAUGCGUAGAUAUCAGGAGGAACACCAAGAGCGAAGGCAACUUACUGGACAGGUACUGACCCUCAGGGACGAAAGCAUGGGUAGCAAACAGGAUUAGAUACCCUGGUAGUCCAUGCCGUAAACGUUGUAUACUAGGUGUGGGAGGAUUUAUCCCCUUCCGUGCCCAAGCUAACGCGAUAAGUAUACCGCCUGGGGACUACGGCCGCAAGGCUAAAACUCAAAGGAAUUGACGGGGACCCGCACAAGCGGUGGAGCAUGUGGCUUAAUUCGAGGCAACGCGAAGAACCUUACCUGGGUUUGACAUAUAUUGGACCGCUCUAGAGAUAGAGCUUUUCUUCGGAACUGAUAUACAGGUGCUGCAUGGCUGUCGUCAGCUCGUGUCGUGAGAUGUUCGGUUAAGUCCGGCAACGAGCGCAACCCAUGUCGUUAAUUGCAAACAGUUCGGCUGUGCACUAUAGCGAGACUGCCCGUGUCAAGCCGGAGGAAGGCGUGGACGACGUCAAGUCCGUAUGGCCCUUAUGCCCAGGGCUGCACACGUGCCACAAUGGUUGGAACAAUGGGAUGCAAUGUCGCGAGGCGGAGCAAAUCCUCAACACCAGCCCCAGUUCGGAUUGGAGUCUGCAACUCGACUCCAUGAAGUCGGAAUCGCUAGUAAAGGCGUAUCAGCAAUGACGCCUUGAAUACGUUCCCGGGUCUUGUACACACCGCCCGUCACAUCAUGGAAGCUGAUUGCACCCGAAGUCAUUGACCCAACUCUUUACUGAGAGGGAGAUGCCGAAGGUGUGGUUAGUAACUGGGAUGAAGUCGUAACAAGGUAACCGUA